UCCAGACUCCUACGGGAGGCAGCAGUGGGGAAUAUUGCACAAUGGGCGCAAGCCUGAUGCAGCCAUGCCGCGUGUAUGAAGAAGGCCUUCGGGUUGUAAAGUACUUUCAGCGGGGAGGAAGGGGUUAAGGUUAAUAACCUUAGCCAUUGACGUUACCCGCAGAAGAAGCACCGGCUAACUCCGUGCCAGCAGCCGCGGUAAUACGGAGGGUGCGAGCGUUAAUCGGAAUUACUGGGCGUAAAGCGCUCGUAGGCGGUAUGUCAAGUCAAGGGUGAAAUCCCCGCGCUCAACGUGGGAACUGCCUUUGAAACUGGCAAACUGGAGUGUGUGAGAGGAUAGUGGAAUUCCAGGUGUAGGAGUGAAAUCCGUAGAUAUAUGGAGGAACAUCAGUGGCGAAGGCGACUAUCUGGCACAUAACUGACGCUGAGGAGCGAAAGCGUGGGUAGCAAACAGGAUUAGAUACCCCGGUAUGA
RNAcentral lists this ribosomal RNA (473 nucleotides) under uncultured bacterium. RNAcentral's name for it is "bacterial SSU rRNA". It matches the Rfam family "Bacterial small subunit ribosomal RNA", at positions 330 to 794 of the family's 1533-position model. The record is from RNAcentral.